CUUGCUAUCAGGCGUCGAGCGGCGGACGGGUGAGUAAUACUUAGGAAUCUACCUAGUAGUGGGGGAUAGCACGGGGAAACUCGUAUUAAUACCGCAUACGACCUACGGGAGAAAGGGGGCAGUUUACUGCUCUCGCUAUUAGAUGAGCCUAAGUCGGAUUAGCUAGAUGGUGGGGUAAAGGCCUACCAUGGCGACGAUCUGUAGCUGGUCUGAGAGGAUGAUCAGCCACACCGGGACUGAGACACGGCCCGGACUCCUACGGGAGGCAGCAGUGGGGAAUAUUGGACAAUGGGGGAAACCCUGAUCCAGCCAUGCCGCGUGUGUGAAGAAGGCCUUUUGGUUGUAAAGCACUUUAAGCAGUGAAGAAGACUCCGUGGUUAAUACCCACGGACGAUGACAUUAGCUGCAGAAUAAGCACCGGCUAACUCUGUGCCAGCAGCCGCGGUAAUACAGAGGGUGCAAGCGUUAAUCGGAAUUACUGGGCGUAAAGGGAGCGUAGGUGGCUCGAUAAGUCAGAUGUGAAAUCCCCGGGCUCAACCUGGGAACUGCAUCUGAUACUGUUGAGCUAGAGUAUGUGAGAGGAAGGUAGAAUUCCAGGUGUAGCGGUGAAAUGCGUAGAGAUCUGGAGGAAUACCGAUGGCGAAGGCAGCCUUCUGGCAUAAUACUGACACUGAGGCUCGAAAGCGUGGGUAGCAAACAGGAUUAGAUACCCUGGUAGUCCACGCCGUAAACGAUGUCUACUAGUCGUUGGGUCCCUUGAGGACUUAGUGACGCAGCUAACGCAAUAAGUAGACCGCCUGGGGAGUACGGCCGCAAGGUUAAAACUCAAAUGAAUUGACGGGGGCCCGCACAAGCGGUGGAGCAUGUGGUUUAAUUCGAUGCAACGCGAAGAACCUUACCUGGUCUUGACAUAUCUAGAAUCCUGCAGAGAUGCGGGAGUGCCUUCGGGAAUUAGAAUACAGGUGCUGCAUGGCUGUCGUCAGCUCGUGUCGUGAGAUGUUGGGUUAAGUCCCGCAACGAGCGCAACCCUUGUCCUUAGUUACCAGCGGGUUAAGCCGGGAACUCUAAGGAUACUGCCAGUGACAAACUGGAGGAAGGCGGGGACGACGUCAAGUCAUCAUGGCCCUUACGACCAGGGCUACACACGUGCUACAAUGGUAGGUACAGAGGGCAGCUACACAGCGAUGUGAUGCGAAUCUCAAAAAGCCUAUCGUAGUCCAGAUUGGAGUCUGCAACUCGACUCCAUGAAGUAGGAAUCGCUAGUAAUCGCGGAUCAGAAUUGCACCAGAAGUGG
Molecule: ribosomal RNA, 1294 nt
Filed under: Psychrobacter sp.
Lineage: Bacteria; Pseudomonadati; Pseudomonadota; Gammaproteobacteria; Moraxellales; Moraxellaceae
Description: bacterial SSU rRNA
Rfam family: Bacterial small subunit ribosomal RNA
Source: RNAcentral